GACGAACGCUGGCGGCGUGCUUAACACAUGCAAGUCGAACGGAAAGGCCCUGCUUUUGUGGGGUGCUCGAGUGGCGAACGGGUGAGUAACACGUGAGUAACCUGCCCUUGACUUUGGGAUAACUUCAGGAAACUGGGGCUAAUACCGGAUAGGAGCUCCUGCUGCAUGGUGGGGGUUGGAAAGUUUCGGCGGUUGGGGAUAGACUCGCGGCUUAUCAGCUUGUUGGUGGGGUAGUGGCUUACCAAGGCUUAGACGGGUAGCCGGCCUGAGAGGGUGACCGGCCACAAUGGGACUGAGAGACGGCCCAGACGCCUACGGGAGGCAGCAGGGGGGAAUAUUGCACAGUGAGCGGAAGCCUGAUGCAGCGACGCCGCGUGCGGGAUGACGUCCUUCGGGGUGUAAACCGCUUUCGCCUGAGACGAAGCGUGAGUGACGGUAAUGGGUAAAGAAGCACCGGCUAACUACGUG
RNAcentral lists this ribosomal RNA (468 nucleotides) under uncultured bacterium. RNAcentral's name for it is "partial 16S ribosomal RNA". It matches the Rfam family "Bacterial small subunit ribosomal RNA", at positions 28 to 507 of the family's 1533-position model. The record is from RNAcentral.